UACGUAGGGUGCGAGCGUUAAUCGGAAUUACUGGGCGUAAAGCGUGCGCAGGCGGUUAUAUAAGACAGAUGUGAAAUCCCCGGGCUCAACCUGGGAACUGCGUUUGUGACUGUACGACUAGAGUGCGGCAGAGGGGGAUGGAAUUCCGCGUGUAGCAGUGAAAUGCGUAGAUAUGCGGAGGAACACCGAUGGCGAAGGCAAUCCCCUGGGCCUGCACUGACGCUCAUGCACGAAAGCGUGGGGAGCAAACAGG
Molecule: ribosomal RNA, 253 nt
Filed under: uncultured bacterium
Lineage: Bacteria
Description: partial 16S ribosomal RNA
Rfam family: Bacterial small subunit ribosomal RNA
Source: RNAcentral